UGAUAAGUCUCUGGGGAAAUCUUUUGGCUCAACCGUGAGGAUUCUCGGGGAUACUGUUGAGCUUGGGGCCGGGAGAGGUGGGAGGUACUUCGGGGGUAGGGGUGAAAUCUUGUAAUCCUGGGAGGACCACC
This 131-nucleotide ribosomal RNA is filed under the name uncultured methanogenic archaeon. RNAcentral's name for it is "partial 16S ribosomal RNA". It matches the Rfam family "Archaeal small subunit ribosomal RNA", at positions 531 to 661 of the family's 1478-position model. Lineage: Archaea; Methanobacteriati; Methanobacteriota. The record is from RNAcentral.